GGGAGCCACUCGGGCUGGUGCCUCCGUCGCGUCCGCCCGCUGUCCCGCGUGUGUGUGUGUAUGUGUGUGUGUGUUGUGCCGCCGCCCGCACGCCCUCUCGCACGCCCACGACGCCCACCACAGCCACCACCGCUGUUGGGCGGGGGAAAGGUGGCUCACUGAUGGAGACCAGACUGGCUCCCUCUAUAGGUGUGCCAGUAGUUGAAGAGAGUGCAGCAGCAGCAGCAGCAGCAGAAGUAGCAGUAGCAGCAGCAACAGCGGCAGCGAAAGCAGCAGCAGCAGCAGCAACAGCAGUAGCAGCAGUAGUAGCGGCAGCGGUAGCGGCGGCGGCAGCACCAAGCAAGCUAUCAGCGAGUGCUAGUGUGUUGUAGCAGUGGCAGGUGCUGAUGUAGCCCUGGGCUACCAGUGACGCCCUUCAGAGGCCCAGUGUUGACACCGUGCAAUGUGUGUUGCCCUCGUGUGCCCCGCCCACCAUGGCCCACCGCCCGUCCCUCGCCAGUCCGCCCACAGUCCGCCCACCUCACGCCCGCCAGUGUCCCGGUGAGCCGGCCCCAGUGUCGUGCCCCCACGGGUAUUCGAGGGUGUGAGGCGGGGAGGAGGCAGGCAGGCCCCGGGGUGUGAGUGUAAGGGCAGGGGCGGGGAGAGCCAGCCCCGGGGUGAUGGGUUAGUGGGCCCCGCGGGUGUGUGAGAGGGGCCGGUGAUCUACUGCAGCUGCCGGCCGCCGCCACCACCACCAAGCCGCCCGGCAGCCAUGUCCAUGUCCUUCUUCACGUUCCCCGUGCCUCGCUUCUUAUUUCGGGGCUCCGGCGACGCCCGAGACGACAAGGCACAUCAGCAGAGCCGUCAAAAAGAAUCCAAGUCCAACAAAUCCUACGAGAGCUCCGAUCACCAGCAGCAGCUCUCAGGGUCACUACCCAAACUCAGUAGCCAAGAUGACGACGGCCCCAACACUCAGACCAACUACACAGGAACGGGAAAUUUCGAGCCCAUUCCCCACGACCACGACUUCUGCGAGAGAGUCGUCAUAAACAUAAGCGGUCUUCGGUUCGAGACGCAACUCCGGACGUUGAACCAGUUUCCGGAGACCCUACUGGGGGACCCGGCGCGUCGGAUUCGCUACUUUGAUCCUCUACGAAAUGAGUACUUCUUCGAUCGCAACCGGCCCAGUUUCGACGCCAUCCUAUACUACUAUCAGAGCGGAGGGAGGCUCAGAAGACCAGUCAACGUGCCACUCGAUGUCUUCGCGGAGGAGAUUAAGUUUUACGAGCUCGGUGAGAUCGCCACCAAUAAAUUCAGGGAGGAUGAGGGCUUCAUCAAGGAGGAGGAGCGGCCGCUGCCGGAGAACGAAUUCCAAAGGAAAGUGUGGCUGCUGUUUGAGUACCCGGAGAGCUCGCAGAACGCUAGAGUGGUUGCCAUCAUCUCCGUCUUCGUUAUCCUCCUUUCCAUUGUGAUCUUUUGCCUUGAGACACUACCGGAAUUCAAGCACUACAAGGUGUUCAAUACCACGACCAACGGCACUGUGGUGGAAGAGGACGAGGUGCCCGAAGUCACGGAUCCAUUCUUCCUCAUAGAGACCAUUUGUAUCAUUUGGUUCUCCACUGAACUAUUAGUGAGAUUUUUCGCAUCGCCACUCAAGGGAGCGUUUUUGAAAGACGUCAUGAACAUUAUCGAUAUAGUAGCUAUCAUUCCUUACUUUAUUACGUUGGCGACUGUGGUAGCCGAGGAGGAGGGCGAGGUGAUGGUCAUCCCUGCAGAGACACUUUCCCCGCACGAAAAGGGGUCAAACCAGGCCAUGUCCCUAGCCAUACUACGAGUUAUUCGACUGGUCCGAGUAUUCAGAAUAUUCAAAUUGUCUCGACACUCCAAGGGUCUCCAGAUUCUCGGAAGAACGCUCAAGGCCUCCAUGAGGGAACUCGGUCUCCUAAUAUUCUUCCUCUUCAUCGGCCCGUGGGUGUGUGGGGUAAAAUCGUCGGGUCACUGUGCGCCAUCGCCGGCGUGCUCACCAUCGCUCUUCCUGUGCCCGUCAUUGUGUCAAACUUCAACUACUUCUAUCAUCGGGAGACCGACCAGGAGGAGAUGCAGAGUCAAAACUUCAACCACGUCACCAGUUGUCCCUACCUGCCUGGCACUGUUGGCCAGCACCUGAAGAAGGACUCUUUAUCCGAGUCGUCUUCAGACAUCAUGGAGCUUGAAGAGGGAGUCUUACUGUCGCACGACCUCAGUAAAAAGCAGAAUUGCAACCCGCGCCACAACAACAAUAUAAACGCUAUGAGCAUCGAAACUGACGUCUGACACUUGUGUGGCAGGAAGGAUUCAAGCAGUGCCAAUACUGAGUGCACAAAGUAACUACAAAGUGGGUCAGGCUGCCGCGCCACCUUCACCCUCAAGCGGAGGAGGCAUCCCAGAGCAGCACAGGGUCGCGUGGGGUCAGGAGGUCAUCCAGCAUAUUGAUUCGAGACAAAUUUGAGAUGCAUUCAUUGGUCACCAUUAGUUCUUAACAUUAGUCAAAGGGGAAAAUGUAAAUAUGAUAGUCAUUUUCAUAUUUCAAAUUAUGUAUUUUUGUAUAAUUCUGCAUCUUCUAGAAUUCUGGAUAUUGACUCGCACCUUUCACAUUCGGCAUUAACAGUGAUAAUAGUCAUGAGUUCAAGAAAUAAAACGAAAUUUCAGCAACUCGGCUACUCUACAGGGUUGAUUGAAAAAGAAAACGGUAUCCGGUCCCCCCUCCAUUAAAAAAAAAACAAAUGGAUUGUGAAAUUGGGCAUUAUAUUAUUAAGUGGAGAUCUUAAAUGACUCCAACCCAAGACGUCCACUCCUGACCCAGCCAGACCCAAGUGUGGCGAAUCAAAACAAUGCGAGCGAUAGAUAGAUAGAUGAGAGAGAGAGAGAGAGAGAGAGAGAGAGAGAGAGAGAGAGAGAGAGAGAGAGAGAGAGAGACAGAGAGAGAGAGAGAGAGAGAUGCUGCAGAGAUGAAUCGAGAAACGUUUGAUGUACUGUACAUGUGAUAAUCCCGUAAUCUUUAAAUAGUGGAAGAAGAUAAUGAUUAAAAAAAAUGACGCAACAAAAUUAUUCAGAGGAUUUUUUUAUGCAUACGCAGUCAUUAUUACUAUUGUUAUUAUUAUUAUUAUUAUUAUUAUUAUUAUUAUUAUUAUUGUCGAGAUGAUGAUGAUGAUGAUGAUUAGCUGUUUUGGUGUCAGUUCGGUGAUCCGUUGUGAAGUCGGAGUGGUGAUUGCGAAUGGCGGGACGAAGAGGAAUCCAGCCGGCAAGGGGAGAACAAUAACAGUGGACUGCUAAGAUAUUCGUUUGGCAGCUUUCCCCCCAUCCCCUUCUUCAUUUUUUUCUCUGUUCUAAUUCCCUUUUUUUUUUUUUUUACCCUCAAUAUUUUUCUUUGUUCAUUUCAGCCUCCUCCUCCUCCUCCUCCUCCUCCUCCUCCUCCUCCUCCUCCUCCUCCUCCUCCUCCUCCUCUUCGAGUUCAUUUUUAUAAUUAAACAAAUUUAGAGACUGCCUCUCUCCCUUUUUUUAAUCCCUUCCUUCUGUCUCAAACAAAUUCAGAAAAUUAUUCGCUACCUAACCUGCCCCAGUGACGAACUUCCAAGUACUUCACGCCCUCCUCCUACUGCUCCUCCUCCUCCUCCUCCUCCUCCUCCUCCUCCUCCUCCUCUUCCUCCUCCUUCUCCUCUUCCUCCUCCUCCUCCUCCUUCUCCUCCUCCUCCUCCUCCUGUAUCAACAUCCCCAUGCUACCACCACCAUCACCACCGCAUACACGUCCCUACUCUUGCUCCGCUUCCCUGUUCUUCUUUCCUUCAUCCCACCCUCCAUGUCGUACAGGCUAGUUUUCCCUCAUUCAUCUCUCUCUCUUAGCCUCCUCUUGGUCUACCUGACUUCCCAGAGUGACUCUAGAUUGGCCCGCAGACUCUGUGGCGUGUUUCUACUUCCGUCUGAAAUCUUGCCCUUCCACUGUCACAUCAUACAUGUGAGAGCGACCCUGGAAAAUUCAUACAUCAAGCUCUGCUUCUCAGGUGAUUCACGAGCUUCACGGGGUGUCAUAAGAGUCAAGGUCCUCAAUGAAUACUCGGGGAUAGUUGCCUUGUGGUUUAUGCCCUGAAGCUGAUGCAUUGCCUCACCUUCAGACUCUCACUGUAGGAGCAUUCUAAGGUAGUGGAACCCAUAUCUACCUUCCCCCAGCUGCCCAGAGGCUCCUUCUGCAUUUACUGUACUACUCCAUUUCCUAUUUAAGCCUCUAUCUAUUAACAUCUUUUACGACUUUUCCUGCUCUCUAUCGCGGUAGCUGACUGUCCCCGGAAGUAUUACGCCUCACUCUGGAACUCCAGUGCUCCCACCUUACCCUUGUCGGAUGCCAAAUCGUCGCAAGACUACGGUAGCAGUAUUUUGUGGGCAGAUGGGGGUAGGGGUAGUUCUGGGUGAUAGGAUUGAAAGCCUUUUGGUAACUCCUUAAUGAACCUCCCCCCCUUCCUAAUGUCAUUCCAACUCCUACAUCAAUUAGAAUUUUCCCAGGUUGAACAGCAAUAAGGCAUAAACAGUCUAUUAAUACCACUGUAACUUUAAGAUUUGUUUUCUGUUCACUCUGCAUAAUAACAGUUUUUAAAUAUUAGCUCCUUACAAAGCAUUUCAUAAUAUAUUGUUGUUCAACUGUUCCCUAAUAUACAUUCUCCUGUGUUAGUCAGUCAAGUGUCGGUAUGCUAAUGUCACCAAAAUCGUCAUGUGGUAAUGUUACAUGCAGUGUCACAACUGAUGUAGUGAGUGAUAAGAGACUCGCACCGCCACCACUACCACCUACUUCCACGACCCUCCACCAAGGCUAAAUCCCGAGCCCACUGUGCAGCCACCAAGUUUCCGGAAGAACCUGAAACAUGCGCAAACGGAUGGGGAGGAACAACAAACAAAUGAGCAACGAAUGAUGCAGCUGCCGUGAUCAGACUUUCGUUACGACAAGCAAGUGGUGAUGUUUGUGCCUGAAGCAAAUUCUAUAAAGCUUUACAAAGAAUGUACAUAUUCGUUAUUCUAGUGAUCCAUUAGUUACUACUAAGAACAAUGGCCUGAUUGAAGACGGGAGGAAAGGACACUCAACAAGCAGCUGGUGUGUUCUGUGCUGGAAGUAGUAGUAGUGACAGUGGUGGAUGAAAGGGUUCGCAAACCUCGACUGAGAGUGUGCAAGGUUGAUUAUAACGCUCCAUGACACGCAGUGCCGGACUGAAAAAAAAGGGGGGAUUAGUUUUCAAACCGUCUUUUUCAAACCUGAACUGGAUAACUAUUAAGAUAUUCACCAGCGCUGUUCUAAGUGUUGGAUAAUUUUCGGGUUGUUUCGGUUUUACAGUUUAUUGGAUGGUUUGAGAUGUCAAUUCGGUGAUGUUGGUACCCCUGUGCGUGAAAAUGGCGCAGAAAGAUGCUACAUUUGUUUCAGUUACCUGGAGUUCAAUCCUUGACCUACAUCUUGAAGCACGUUUUCUAAGUACCCGCAAGCUGUUGCUCCGCCCUGGCCACCUGCUGACUCAGGGUGGGAGCACGAAACCGCAGAGAGGCUGUCCGAGCUGUCUGCUACGUGAAAACCUGGAUGAGUCAAAGCACAACAAAUCGGAGCCUAUGUAACGCGAAGAUAAAUCUACAGAAGAAUACACAUAAGUACAAUGAUUUUUCCAUGCAGACGCAGAAUCUUUGGAUGUAAACAGCAAUACAUGAAGUAUAAUUAAGGGUUUACCAAAUCAGCAAUGGUUGAAAUCAUGAACGUUUAUCGAGGGAACGAAACACGUGACAGGGUGAGCAGCAGCAGCAGCAGCAGAAGCAGAAGCAGCAACAGCAGUAAGAAGGAUUGGAAGUAGUUUUCCUCAAAUGGCACGUAUCCUCCUAGAGAGCCUCAUCCCCUCUCCACUGAAAGAGGUGCCGCCCUAUCACUCAGGAAGGAUGGUCUUAACUAUUGUAAAGCACUGACCUCGGGGAUUUCCAGUCAGUGUCGCCGUGCCGCAAGCGUGGUGGUGACGACACUCCUGCACUCUCCGAAGUCUCUAGCUUGCCCUCAGCCCCGGUGCGUCACGUAAGAACCCCUUAAGAUGAUACCAAAGUUCAUCGGCUCCUCAAAAUUAUUGGUGGUCAAUUACUGACAACUGAUGAAUGAUGCCAGAAAGUAUAAUUUGUAAUGAUUGUAAUAAUAGCGCCAGCUUCUUUAUUAUCAUGUGAUUUAUUGAUGAUUUUAUUCUCAGAUUUUAAUCGAAAUGUGAUACUGCCGCAAGUCAUCGAAGUGAGAAAAUGCAAUCUUGUGGUGUUCUUAUAAUGACGAAGCUAACCUAAGUCCAUCUUGUGUGCACUUACUGGUUCAUAGGAUUGCGGAGAGUUUUUGGCGACAGCUGCUGAGAGGAACAGAAGGAAAAAGCUAAAUUUAAGCGCAACGAAGCUGCCAUAUGAAGGGAGAGUGACCGAAGGUGAAGCAUAUAUGAUUGAACUAUUAAAAGGAAUCCAAUACUAACCAGAACCAUUUCAGUACACACUGCCCAUUCACACCCUGCAGAGACAUUUUAUGGGGUAUCAGCUGCCGAGGUGUAUGAAAAUGAAAAAAAAAAGACACGUUUUGUGUUCAUAUCAUAACUUUCACCCCUUUGCCUUUGCAUCGUUUAUGCCCAGAUUUCCUAAGUGAUGAUGUUGGAUUGUCUAAACAUAUCGUUCAUUCAAAAUAUGAAGCCUUGUCCUUUGUGUGAACCGUUCUCACUUAUUACAUUUUGAAGUUUGUGUCUUCUUUCAGUGUCCAUUUAUGUUCUUAAUUGUGCUGCUUUCCCUUCAGUCAUCAAUUUAGCCAGACAUCUACAGUGUACAUAAUAAAACUGUAAGUAAGUAUGUGGAUGACUGUACCCGGUGCUAAAUUUCCUUUACAGUCAAGGAAGAGGAUGUAAAAUAAAAUAAAAAAUAAUAAAAAAUUUGCCAUUAAGCUAUAGGUUACUUGUGUUCCAUAUCUACAAGUAAUGUAGCGCAGGAAGAUAAAAACAAGCCUAGGUCAGCAGAGCCCUGUUAGAGCAGAUAAGGUAUAUUAGCUGUUGUAGAGCUUAGGAUGAACGUGAUGGAAGUCAGACCAUUCAAAAUAAGAUCAAAGAAUCCUCGAGAUACAACGUCGGUCGCGCAAGGAAGACGACCGGGUGGGAAAGCUUCAAGGUUGAUCCACACUUUUUUUUUAUUAUUCAUUAUUAUAACUGACUACCUCCCUCUGUAAGACUGUAGAACAAACUAGGUGCAUUCACUAGUUAUCUCCAAGUACUGAGCUCACGAGGAUGUGCACUGGUGAUUAGAAAAAAAAAAUGUAUGCAUAGGAAGAAAAAGAAAGUAGAAUCGAUUAGAAAUUAUAAUCCUGAAAUAUUCCUCCACUCAGCCGCAACAACAAAAUUUACGGGAAAAAUACGAAUCAGUAAAGUUCAUCGCAAUCGCAGGCUGAGAGAAGAGAAAGAGUACGGAAAACUAGACGAUGGACAGUGUUGGCAGGCCCGGAACCUAGGCCGUUGCACGUCACACCUUACUAGUGAAGAGGUGCGCAGUGCCCUGCCUUCGGUCUGUGGGUCUAGAGUAGAGGUAGAAAAUCCAGUGAGCCGUUACCCAAAUUAAUCAACAUUAUGAUAAUUUACAUAGAACGAAGAAAACUAAUGUGACAGUUCGCCUCUCCAAGAUCUAACAAGUGCAUUGCUUCAGUGUAAAUGAGGAAAUGCAUUCAUGUUUUUAUAUGUUUCUUUCUAAAGUCCUGUAUAUAUUCUGUACAUAAUUGACUGAUUGUUUGUUUUACAUUAAGCCUGUUUAUUGUUGACGGUUUGAGAAUCUUAGAUAAUUAUUUUCUCUUGUUGCUGCAUGAGAACUUUGAACAACUUUAACCCAAGUUUUGUGGGCGUGGCCUCUUCUUCCCCGCAGUGCUUGUGAUUAGCUGACUGGGAGGAGGCCUCACCAAUCAGAACUUAAGAGUGGGCUGCCCGUCCCAAGGCGUCUGCAUCUAGUCUCAAGUUUCCUGAUCAACUCUUCUCCUUGUUGACUGUCAUGUCAGAACCAAUAAAAAAGGGGGCGGGCAUCCCAUCUAUUUGCUUCAUACUUUAUCUAGGAAGAACCUCUAGAGCAUUAUUUGCUUGCUAGAAUACAAAAAAAAAUAUUGGAAUAAGUGACCAUUAAACAUUUCAGACGGCGGUAGUUCCUUAAAUGCUGUAACUUCUUCAGCUAUUUACAACUCAGCUUAACCUAGAGAGACAAUGCAAGUGAUGCAAGGCAGGGGCCGUCUGCUGCCCGUGUGACCCGUGACUCUGGGCCGAGGGAGGCGCUCCAGAGAUCAGUGUGCGGUACGUGUGUUGUAGAAGAUAAUUCCGAGGAUACAGUGUUCGUUGUUGCCCGAUGGAAUGGUGUGAGUUGCACCCUGCGAUCCAGUGCUCAACUCACGGGGGCGCCGAACAGAGAGGGUUUAUCUGUUUGUGUGCCCUGCUGGAGCUCCCUCCUAUGGCUCACUGACAAUGAUCACGUUGUAAUGAGUGUCGGCACUUCCUCUCUUGGGUCCUUUUCUUCAUUGUCUUUCGACAUUAUAAGGUGCCAUGUACUCCCAAGUUAUCUUACUGGCUCCCUCUUCCCCCUUCUUUAUUACAUUGUAUCUAUGUUACUUUGCUUCAGACAGUUGUUUUCUUUGUCCACUCAAGGAAGGAAAAUAUUGUUAGCAAACUGCAGCUACCAAUGAAAAUGCCAACUCUUUCCAUUCUUUUCAGAAUUAUUAGUAGUGGUAUAGGGUUUCAAAUUAUUGAGACUUUCUCCAUAUAACUUUAUAAUGACUGCCUGUUAAUGUAUAUAAUACAAAUAAAAGUUGUUGGUUAGAUAACAUGACAACAAUUCAUCGUCAUCCAUUCCAAAUCAAAAUGAAGGCAGAUGACCUGUAAUUACGAGAUACUAGUCCACCUAAUUCCAGGUAUUACUGAUUAGGCUCUCUCCCUUUCCAUAUUAACCCCUGUAACCCCUCAUGUACUGAGGGCCAGAGGGAGACAACAGAGGCAUCUCGCAUAUUCUCAGGGAGAGUUUCAGAUAUUAUAGUCCUUGUAACUUAUCCCUGAAGGCUAAUGGCAGAGUUUUGUGUUGUCUCUUGCUGCUCCUCCCCUCUGCUUCUGAGUCAGAGACAUCAAUGGGUUUCCAGAGUUGCACCGUCUCGGGGGAAGGUGGAGGUUCGCAAGGCACCAAUCUGGGCUACGGGCUCCACUUUCUCCUUCUCAUACAUGUGAACCAACCAUUGAAUGUCUCUGUGAUAAUCAAGAGAACCUCACCUGUUAAAUUUUUUACGUAAUUUUUAAUCUACAUAACCCAUUGGCUUAUUCGAUGAAUAACCUCUGAAAACAUAAAUCAUUAAAAUUAAUAAUCAGAGUACAUCACAUACGAAUGAAAUUUAACUGUGUGAAGAAAAGUUGCGGUGUUAAAAUUUAGUUUAUUGAAGCACAUUACUGGACCAUUGUGCUUCAACGGCUAUAUAUAUAUAUAUAUAUAUAUAUAUAUAUAUAUAUAUAUAUAUAUAUAUAUAUAUAUAUAUAUAUAUAUAUAAUAUGUAUAUAUAUUUUUUCUUUUUUUUAUGUAUCUGCGUGAGCAUGAAGGCCAGACCCUCCCUGUCUCUCCCUCUGUUUCCCUGGCGGAAGCCCCCAAGUACCAACAAAGGGUUGACGCUUCCAUGACACGCCUGACCUCCAUGCUCCACACAUUACCAGUGGCAUAUUCAGGCUUCAAGGUAAUUCUUUUCGACUGCUUUGAAAAUCACGUUUGACUCUGCCAACACAAAACCGUUUCAUUUUAAUAAGGGGGGAUGUUAUAUGCUACAAGUUUUCAUGAACUGUAACUUUACAAAUAAAUAUAUACGUACACAAUAUUAAAAAAAUAAAAACAAUACUAAUGAAUAAACGCCAGAAUUUGCCACUUAAGCAUCAAUCUGAAGCAAACACGUAUAAGAUUUGCGGAUAUAACUUAGCACAUCCCAUUCAGCCGUUACCUGUGCCUUCUAUCCAAAGCUUCCAUGGAGCGACGUGGGUCCCGACUCUCGGCCUCACCUCGGUGCCAGGAAGUCAAGUAUUUUAUCAUUUUCUUCAUAUAGUAAUUCAUACGCCAAUCAGCUUACAGAUUUAGACGCUCAAUUUUUUCUUGACUGGAUUGAGGUGCUGUUUGAGAGUCUGGACCAAAGCCUUGUUCAACGCGCCCUUCUCAUCAUCAUGCAUUACGUCAACUAUAAGAUUUGUCUGUGUGUGCGUGUGUGUGUGUGCAUAUAUAUAUAUAUAUAUAUAUAUAUAUAUAUAUAUAUAUAUAUAUAUAUAUAUAUAUAUAUAUAUAUAUAUAUAUAUAUAUAUGCAUGCACUCCACUGUAAAGAAAAUAAAUGACUCAAUAAGAAAUGAAUUGCCAAGAUUGAGAUAUAGAAGGUAAAAGAGAGAAGAGAGGCGCCUCGUUGAAGUUGGCUGUGACCCGGGUCAGCGCUCCACUAACCCUGUGUGAUGGGAGACCAGAGCUGCGUCUACACAGGUGACAAGGUGAGCCGCGGCGAGCCUUGCCUCACCACUCUAAUCAAAUUUAUGGUCCAAUUUUUACUAUGAAAGGUUUGAAAAUACAAUUUAACAUUAAAAUUACCGUCACAUUUGUUUUACUCUAAUAAAUAUGGAUGCGACGCCUGUGUUUACAGUCUUUGCCUUCAAGUUAUGCGAUUUUCAGGUGACGUUCUCUGUAUUAAAGAAAAGUACUAGGUAUUUAAUAUUUCUUCCUUGCUAUUAAGGUCCAUUGUUGUAUAAGAUUAUGAAAAGAUUUGGACCUUGGUAGCUGCAGGAUGGACUGGAUUCAUUGAAUCCCCUCAUUAUUUUGAUCUUGUAUCAAAGUGUGUGCUUUUUCAUGCCAAUAAACUAAGAAACCAGUUAAAA
RNAcentral lists this unclassified non-coding RNA (10890 nucleotides) under Portunus trituberculatus (swimming crab). Its description in RNAcentral is "potassium voltage-gated channel protein Shaker-like, transcript variant X5". The stretch from base 1934 to 2037 matches the Rfam family "Potassium channel RNA editing signal". The record is from RNAcentral. Lineage: Eukaryota; Metazoa; Arthropoda; Malacostraca; Decapoda; Portunidae.